Aquila chrysaetos chrysaetos is the source of this 1756-nucleotide RNA transcript. RefSeq lists it as uncharacterized. The record is from RefSeq and is a predicted model, not a curated record. The transcript has 3 exons. NCBI's taxonomy places the organism in Eukaryota, Metazoa, Chordata, Aves, Accipitriformes, Accipitridae.
GGCUGCCACUUAGCCCCCAAGAGGAUUUUGAGCUGAACCGUGUCCCGGCUGCCCGGCUGCUGAACGCAGCUUGGAUAGAGCCCUGGGCACAGCUCCUUCUCACUGACAAGUUCAGGGCAUAGUCCCAACCACGUGGGACACAGUCCUGCUCCACUGCUGGGCUCAGUGUCCACCAAUGGGCACAGCAGUGGGAGCAGCAGGCUUCAAAAUCCGCCUACACAGGUCCUCCCCAGCUCUGCCUCAGCCUUCCUCACCUGCCAGGUGGGCGGGGAAAGGCUUUGUGACAUCACAGAGCCUUGCGUGACAUCAGCCCGUGACUCGUCACGUCAGCAACCCUUGCAAGCGCAGACACGCAGGGUGGCCACUCGGUUCUGGUGGUCACUGCCUGAACUCUGCUCGGGGUGACAGCCCAAGCCAGAUUGCGCGUCGAGAUUUUUUUCCUCGGCAGAGACCACGAUGAGGCUCAGUCCAGUUCAAUCCCUCACCAUGGCUCUCUGCAUGUUGUUUCUGUUCCCUGGUGGCCUUCACCUUUGCGUCCACGCCGACUGCUUCAUAGUCGGGAUAGAAGUCCUUCCUGAAGACCUGGAGCAGCCACCCGUUGUCGCUGAGAGCGUGGCCUCCGAAUGGACCAGCACCAUUGGCCUUCGCAGCCCCCACGGCUGGGCCAGGGUCAGGAUGGACGUCGCUCCUGAGGGCCUGAAGCAACCGCCCGCUGUCGCCGACAGCAUGGCCUCCGAAUGGACCAGCACCAUUGGCCUUCGCAGCCCCCACGACUGGGCCAGGGUCAGGAUGGACGUCGAUCCUGAGGGCCUGAAGCAACCGCCCGCUGUCGCCGACAGCAUGGCCUCUGAAUGGACCAGCACCAUUGGCCUUCGCAGCCCCCACGGCUGGGUCAGGAUCAAGAUGGCCGUCGCUCCUGAGGGCCUGAAGCAACCGCCCGUCGGCACAGAGAGCAUAGCCUCUGAGCUGCACGGCCCUCUGCGCCGGCUUUGGGACCACCUUGUCCAGCUGGACAGGACCUGGCACCUUUGCAGGGCCUGGCAAACCAUGUGGCUGCUCCACACGGUUUCGAUCGCACUGCGCCUCUGGAGAAAUGUGAAGAGAUCCCAGGGACAGGCAAGUGGACAGACGGCCGCAACUGCCACGGGGCCAGGCCGCCUGGGAAGGCACACCGUCUCCAAAUACGAAUUGCUCUGCCUAAUGGAGGCCAAAAUCACCUUGCUGGUCAGGUGCCUGAGGCAUACCCACCGCCUCCGCCUGAAAGAGCUCCGGCACCAGUACUCCAGGAGGGUGGCACAAGAAAAAGGUAAUUAGAGGAGAGCCUUCUCUAGCUCCCCGUGCAACUCCAGCUAGAGCGUGCGCCCGGCGGAUUGGCAACACGAAAGGCAGUGGUGCAACUGGGUGCUGCCGUCCAUGAAGGGGUGGCAGCCAGCCGAAGGCUCGUGGGGUGAGGACACCUCCACUGACUGCAACCUCUUCUGCUAGCUGGAGGCCAUUAUCGCCCCGACGAUCAUGUUCCUGCACGGUGGCCAUGGCCAAUGGGUGGCCACGUCCUGGCGGGUUGCCCGUGCCCACCUGGCACAACAGCCAACAGGCAUUUGGCAACUCUCUGACGAAGACCCCUGGGGAGGGUCCCCUUUCCCACCCUCCCAAAGGUGCUGCCAGGGUCCACCGGCAUCCAGAAGGCCAGGGCUCAUCCCCGUGUCUCCAAAGGGGACAGCCAGACCAUGCCCGUGCAGCAGAGCCAUCCGGGAAA